Molecule: ribosomal RNA, 254 nt
Filed under: uncultured bacterium
Lineage: Bacteria
Description: partial 16S ribosomal RNA
Rfam family: Bacterial small subunit ribosomal RNA
Source: RNAcentral
UACGGGGGGAGCAAGCGUUGUUCGGAUUUACUGGGCGUAAAGGGCGCGUAGGCGGUCAGCACAAGUCAGUUGUGAAAUCUCCGGGCUUAACUCGGAAAGGUCAACUGAUACUGUGCGACUAGAGUCCGGAAGAGGAGAGUGGAAUUCCUGGUGUAGCGGUGAAAUGCGCAGAUAUCAGGAAGAACACCCGUGGCUAAGGCGGCUCUCUAGUACGUGACUGACGCUGAGACGCGAAAGCGUGGGGAGCGAACAGG